AGUGGAUGGGGAGCAACCUAGUUGUGCGUGUGUAAAGGUAGUGCCAAGAAAAGCGAUGAUCAUGUUGAAAAUCAAUUCCCGGUACCCGAAACCGACACAGGUGGGCAAGUAGAGAAUACUAAGGGGCGCGAGGUAACUCUCUCCAAGGAACUCGGCAAAAUGACCCCGUAACUUAGGGAGAAGGGGUGCCACCGAGAGGUGGUCGCAGUGAAGAGGCCCAGGCGACUGUUUAGCAAAAACAUAGGUCUCUGCAAACUCGAAAGAGGAGGUAUAGGGGCUGACGCCUGCCCAGUGCCGGAAGGUUAAAGAAGUUGGUCAGUCUUAGGAUGAAGCUAGCGACUGAAGCCCCGGUGAACGGCGGCCGUAACUAUAACGGUCCUAAGGUAGCGAAAUUCCUUGUCGGGUAAGUUCCGACCCGCACGAAAGGCGUAACGAUCUGGGCGCUGUCUCGGAGAGAGGCUCGGCGAAAUAGGAUUGUCUGUGAAGAUACGGACUACCUGCAUUUGGACAGAAAGACCCUAUGAAGCUUUACUAUAGCUUGGAAUUGUGUUCGGGCUUCCUGUGCGCAGGAUAGGUGGGAGGCGUAGAAGGUAUUCUUGUGGGGAUACUGGAGCCAACGGUGAGAUACCACUCUCAGGAGGCUAGAAUUCUAACUUAAUUAAGGACAGUUUCAGGUGGGUAGUUUGACUGGGGCGGUCGCCUCCAAAAAGUAACGGAGGCGUACAAAGGUUCCCUCAGACUGGUUGGAAAUCAGUCGAAGAGUGCAAAGGCAGAAGGGAGCUUGACUGCGAGAAGUACAGUUCGAGCAGGGUGGAAACACGGUCUUAGUGAUCCGACGGUGCUGUGUGGAAGGGCCGUCGCUCAACGGAUAAAAGUUACUCUAGGAUAACAGGCUGAUCUCCCCCAAGAGUUCACAUCGACGGGGAGGUUUGGCACCUCGAUGUCGGCUCAUCGCAACCUGGGGCGGAAGUACGUCCCAAGGGUUGGGCUGUUCGCCCAUUAAAGCGGUACGUGAGCUGGGUUCAGAACGUCGUGAGACAGUUCGGUCCAUAUCCGAUGUAGGCGUGAGAAUAUUGAGAGGAGCCUUCCUUAGUACGAGAGGACCGGGAAGGACGCACCGCUGGUGUACCUGUUAUGAUGCCAAUUGUAAACGCAGGGUAGCCAAGUGCGGAGAGGAUAACCGCUGAAAGCAUCUAAGUGGGAAGCCCACCUCAAGAUGAGUAUUCUGGUGUAAGGUCACGGGAAGACGACCCGUAAAUAGGCACGAGGUGGAAGUGCAGAGAUGUAUGAAGCCGAAGUGUACUAAUAGACCGUCGGCUUGACC
RNAcentral lists this ribosomal RNA (1324 nucleotides) under metagenome. RNAcentral's name for it is "bacterial LSU rRNA". It matches the Rfam family "Bacterial large subunit ribosomal RNA", at positions 1561 to 2925 of the family's 2925-position model. The record is from RNAcentral.